Molecule: ribosomal RNA, 464 nt
Filed under: uncultured bacterium
Lineage: Bacteria
Description: partial 16S ribosomal RNA
Rfam family: Bacterial small subunit ribosomal RNA
Source: RNAcentral
ACGAACGCUGGCGGCGCGCUUAACACAUGCAAGUCGAACGGAAAGGCCCCAGCUUGCUGGGGUACUCGAGUGGCGAACGGGUGAGUAACACGUGGGUGAUCUGCCCUGCACUCUGGGAUAAGCCUGGGAAACUGGGUCUAAUACCGGAUAGGACCGUGCUUUAGUGUGUGCGGUGGAAAGUUUUUCGGUGCAGGAUGAGCCCGCGGCCUAUCAGCUUGUUGGUGGGGUAAUGGCCUACCAAGGCGGCGACGGGUAGCCGGCCUGAGAGGGUGUACGGCCACAUUGGGACUGAGACACGGCCCAGACUCCUACGGGAGGCAGCAGUGGGGAAUAUUGCACAAUGGGCGCAAGCCUGAUGCAGCGACGCCGCGUGGGGGAUGACGGCCUUCGGGUUGUAAACCCCUUUCGGCAGGGACGAAGCUUUUGUGACGGUACCUGCAGAAGAAGCACCGGCUAACUACGUG